GACGAACGCUGGCGGCGUGCUUAACACAUGCAAGUCGAACGGAAAGGCCCUGCUUUUGUGGGGUGCUCGAGUGGCGAACGGGUGAGUAACACGUGAGUAACCUGCCCUUGACUUUGGGAUAACUUCAGGAAACUGGGGCUAAUACCGGAUAGGAGCUCCUGCUGCAUGGUGGGGGUUGGAAAGUUUCGGCGGUUGGGGAUGGACUCGCGGCUUAUCAGCUUGUUGGUGGGGUAGUGGCUUACCAAGGCUUUGACGGGUAGCCGGCCUGAGAGGGUGACCGGCCACAUGGGGACUGGGAUAGGGACCAGACUCAUACGGGAGGCAGCAGUGGGGAAUAGUGCACAAGGGGCGGAAGCCAGAUGCAGCAACGCAGCGUGCGGGAUGACGGGCUGCGGGUUGUAAACCGCUUUCGCCUGUGACGAAGCGUGAGUGACGGUAAUGGGUAAAGAAGCACCGGCUAACUACGUG
RNAcentral lists this ribosomal RNA (468 nucleotides) under uncultured bacterium. Its description in RNAcentral is "partial 16S ribosomal RNA". It matches the Rfam family "Bacterial small subunit ribosomal RNA", at positions 28 to 507 of the family's 1533-position model. The record is from RNAcentral.